UGGUCAUGGACUCAUGGUAGCUCUGCAAUCUGUAAAUUACUCUCACUGGUUCGUUACGUACGUACUACUUCCACAUAAAACAGUUUGUUACAUAUAUCAAUCACACCCCUUUAUCAUUGUCGAUCAAAAAUAUCGCAUGCACUGACCAUUCUCAAACCGUUGCUCAAAUUUUAUAGUCUCAUAAUUAAUUGUUUAUUUGUUUGAUGCAAACGGAGAAAACGAGUAUAUUGUCUGCAUUGAACGGUUGAUCUAAACGCAUAUGACCAUAUAUAUCAACUUACAUCAUGUAAGUAAUUUUUAUAUUUUUCUUUUCUUUUUGGAAUAAAGAUGCAAGUAUUUUUCAUCAAGGAAUUGAAGCUAGCUUUUUACAUAUAUCCCAUGAACGUAGACUAACCUUUCUAGACUUUCUAUUCUUUAUCACUUAACGACCGCAAAGCAUUACAUUAAUUAGUCAUUGUUAGUGCAUAUAUUGGCCGGUGAGAAAGAUGGAGAUGUCAUUGUUGCCUGAUAUAUAUAUCCCUACUGUUACACCCCUAAAGCUUCAUAGGCGGCAAAGGCGCGUGGCAUGUGUUGUCUUUGCACCAUGUCGGGACGCAUGAAGGCACAAGCAAGGACAAGCUCUAGUAGGAUGGGAAAGUUGGUAUGCGGCAACAAACCAAGCCAAAGGAAGGAAGGCGGCAUGGACCCCAAAGGCUCGGCAGGGUGCAGUGUCGGGUGCAUGAUAAGUGUGCUCGGCAGGGUGCGCGCGGAUGCACUGUAGGGUGCAUACGUGUGCAUGGCGGUUACAAGCGGUUGACAAAGCAAGUUAGUGGGAAGUUAUCUCCACAAAGCAUGCAAGUUAGUGGGCGGUUACCUAGCACCAAAAGUGGGGAAGUUGGCAAGGAAGUUAUGCAUAUCUUGGUGGUUAUCUAUAAGGUAGUUAUUAAUCCUAUAAUAGUGGGAGAUGUCCAUUACUCCUAAAAAUAAGGCAUGAAUGCCAUAACACCUAAGGGAAGUUGGGUUGUAACUUCAAAGUAAGUAGGCUUAUAAAUAGGACAUAGCCCAUAGUAGAAAGACUUGGAUUCGGACUUUGCCUAAUGAGACUUGGCAAGCCAAAUACGAGUUCCCAUGUAAUAGUAGUUUGUUUAUCAAUGAAAAAGGAAUGUCUAGUUCCACAAACUAUGUGUGCAUGAGAGAAUAGAGAAUCCCAACACUUGUGUGAAAGGACGUAGACACUUGUGUGAAAAGAUUGCAAUUUAGAAGAAGAAGGUACCAAAGUUGAUGUGUGCACACGAAAGAGCAGACUUGGCUUGAUAAGGCCCUCGCCUACCAGAACCAAGCCGUUGUAUGGGGAGAUAGAUUUGGCUGGUCGAAGUUCAGAAGGAACCUAGACGCCAUCACGGAGCCUCGCAUAUUGUUGCAAGAACAAAAGAGUUAAGAAAAAUUCCGCUGCGUACUAAAGGCCCGUGACAGUUGGUAUCAGAGCUACAAUUGCUCGGUACUUUGCCACCUUUUCGGUUCGGGUGUGCAGUGCUUGAUGUGAAGUAUAGGUGGAGGUCGAACGUACGAAAGACACAAGCACGAGUGAAAGUAGGGGCCGACACUCCAAAGUCCAUUUUCAAGGACACUAAAAGGUGUCGUUUGACGCACCCAAGUGCUAGUAACUGGCUGAAGUAAGCACUUGUGAAAAGCUUAAAGAAAGAGGUCAAAGAACCAUCCGAUCAAGUCCACUUUCAAGGACACAACGGGCGCAUGUGAGGCAAGGUUGCAUUGCGGACCCAAGAGAGAGUUGCAGAAAAGGUGCGGAUUGAAGCACCGGGUGCACAUUUAAAGCACUUACGAGAAGAGAAGGGAGUCGCUUGAUACUCGGUCAAAGACAAGGGAGAAGAAGUCUAAAGCUUUAGCAGAUGACCGGCGACACAUUAAAAGACCGCAUUGCACGAGUCGAGGAUUUUCUCAGCUACCCAACAAGUGAUGGAGUGAUAUGUCUCUCACUACAAGUUGAUGAAUUGAAGAAUGAAACAAGAAGGAUGCGAGAAGCAUUCACGGUGCAUGUUACUGAGGCGGAGACCAAGUUCCACGCAUGAUACAAGACCUAAAUGCUUUAUCGAACGCGGUAAAGGCAAGAUUGACGGACAUAGAAGAGAACAUGGCAUUGGUGAAAAGCGCAACAGCCAAUGCCGGACUCAACAUGGAGGGCGGCAAUAUUCAAAAAAUUAGAGUCCCGGAGCCUAAGAUGUUCAAUGGAGAAAGGAAUGCCAAAGGCUUGGAGAAUUUUAUAUGGGACAACGAGCAAUACUUCAAAACUGCUCGCAUAGCGGAAGGGGAGAAAGUCUCAAUGGCCUCAAUGUACCUAGAAGGAGAUGCAAAGUUAUGGUGGAGAACGAGAGUGCAAGACGCGGAGGAGAAUGAAGAUGAGCACCUAUUUGAAAAUUGGGAUGCUCUAAAGAGAGAAUUAAGGAGUCAGUUUAUGCCUUGCAACUCGGCAUGGAUGGCUCGUGAAGCAUUAAAGAAUCUAAGAAUGGAUUCCUCCAUAAGAGAGUACGUCAAGGAGUUUUGUUCCUUGAUGCUUGACAUCCACAACAUGGCAGAAGAAGACAAGCUAUUUAGCUUCAUGGCGGGAUUACAACCUUGGGCAAAACAAGAACUACGAAGGCAAAACGUUGGGGAUUUGCACUCUGCACUAGCCUUAUCCGAAAGGUUGGUGGAUUUUCGGACAAGCCCUGCAUAUUCAGACAAGAGGAGAGAGGCAAGCAAGAAAUUCGGAGUUGACCCAUUCCAAGAGCGUGGCAAGGGGCUAGAAAGUGGGAGAGGUUGUUACAAAACUGCCCACUCACCCACUACUUCCACAAUGAGCAAAUAUAGGGUCACUACCCAUGAUCUUCCACACAACAAGGGGUUUACUUCAUGCUUUAUAUGCAAUGGACCUCAUUUUGCGAAAAAUUGCAGCCAAAAGCAAGCAUUGAGUGCUCUAGUCUCAAUUGCAAACAACAUCAAAGAGAAAGAAACACAAGAAGAUUCGGAGGCAAUCAUGAGUUCGAUGGUGCUACUCAACACGUUGUCAUUGGAGGGUGAGAUGAAGCAUGCAGAUCUUGAGGUCUAUGUUGAUGUAUUUGCCUAUCACUAUGGGCACUACACCAUCAUGUCCUCACUUGUCAUUGAAGGGGACAUCCUUUUCAUUGACGAGAUGAUGCAAUUUGACGAUCCACUACUACCAACCUACACACUUGAGGAGGCGGAAGCUAUUGCGGCAGCCAAGACCUUGAAGAUGUGGGAAGAGCAUUUGAAGGGAAGGAAAUUCGAGCUAUACACUAAGGUUUGGAGAGAUAUGCUCACCUUGAGCGUGUUUCCUCCUUUCCGAAGGUGGAGUGCACUUUAUGAGGAGACCAAGCAAGUCAUGAAGGACUAUGAGUAUGAAUGGGUGAUGAAGAGUGGAAUACAUGAGCAAAUGAAGAAAGAAGACACAAAUCUGCCGGAUGUCAUCGUCAUAAGUGAAGACGAAGAAGAAGAGAGUCUCGAGAAGGAGACAAGCUUGGAAACCAACACUUGGACCGAGCAUAAGAAGAAUGAGCAAGCAGCAAACUGGCCUGCAUGGGGAGAGCAAGAAAAGAUGAACGAGGAGUCGUUAUUCGACAUCCUUGGUAAAAAAAAUCACGGCAAUCAGCCGAGGCUCAAGUAGGGAGAGAAGAUGACGUGGGAGGAGUUCACAAAGGCAUUAAAAGUUUAUGAUGCUACCAAAGGCAGCAAUGAUGCAGCCAAGUGGGAGAAAGCAGCGGGCAACAAGCAAGAAGAUGAAGUACAAGACCCGUUGGCAACGAGGGCGCCACCAAACUCAAAAGGGGGAGGUUUGUCACACCCCUAAAGCUUCAUAGGUGGCAAAGACGCUCGGCAUGAGUUGUCUUUGCAUCAUGUCGGGACGCAUGAAGGCACAAGCAAGGACAAGCUCUAGUAGGAUGGGAAAGUUGGUAUGCGACAACAAACCAAGACAAAGGAAGGAAGGUGGCAUGGACCCCAAAGGCUCGGCAGGGUGCAGUGUCGGGUGCAUGAUAAGUGUGCUCGGCAGGGUGCAAUGUUGGGUGCGGCAGGAUACAUGAAAAGGUGCACUGCUGGGCGCAUGUCAAGUGUGCUCGGCAGGGUGCUACGAAGGUGCGAGAAGGGUGCGAGAAAGGUGCGCUGCAGGGUGCUCGGCAAGGUGCGCGGCAGGGUGCGCGUGGAUGCACUGUAGGGUGCAUACGUGUGCAUGGCGGUUACAAGCGGUUGACAAAGCAAGUUAGUGGGAAGUUAUCUCCACAAAGCAUGCAAGUUAGUGGGCGGUUACCUAGCACCAAAAGUGGGGAAGUUGACAAGGAAGUUAUGCAUAUCUUGGUGGUUAUCUAUAAGGUAGUUAUUAAUCCUAUAAUAGUGGGAGAUGUCUACUACUCCUAAAAAUAAGGCAUGAAUGCCAUAACACCUAAGGGAAGUUGGGUUGUAACUUCCAAGUAAGUAGGCUUAUAAAUAGGACAUAGCCCAUAGUAGAAAGACUUGGAUUCGAACUUUGCCUAAUGAGACUUGACAAGCCAAAUACGAGUUCCCAUGUAAUAGUAGUUUGUUUAUCAAUGAAAAAGGAAUGUCUAGUUCCAUAAACUAUGUGUGCAUGAGAGAAUAGAGAAUCCCAACACUUGUGAGAAAGGAUGUAGACACUUGUGUGAAAAGAUUGCAAUCUAGAAGAAGAAGGUACCAAAGUUGAUGUGUGCACACGAAAGUGCAGACCUGGCUUGAUAAGGAUCUCGUUUACCAGAACCAAGGCGUUGUAUGGGGAGAUAGAUUUGGUUGGUCGAAGUUCAGAAGGAACCUAGACGCCAUCACGGAGCCUCGUAUAUUGUUGCAAGAACAAAAUAGUUGAGAAAAAUUCCGUUGCAUACUAAAGGCCCGUGACACCUACCAUGUCUGCAGGUUUGAAUCACUCUGAACUUAAUUAGUUUCAGACGGCAGGGGCUUUUGAUUACUCUAUUUCACGAACUUGGACUAUCUUUGUUUUUCUUUUUUCGGAGAAAGUCUCAAACUCUCAAUAGGUAGCUCCUCAUCUUUCUCUAUCCUCACCUAAAACUACCAUAUCAUUCAUAGCUUAUCAAACCCACAAUCAAUCACAUAAUUACCAUUUAACAUAAUUAGUGAACUUCAUAUUCAAUUUUUGAAUGAUCUGUUACACACAUCACCAAGAAUUAUUGAGGGCUUUUAUUCAUUUAGGAUGCAAAUCAAUAACACAGUAAAAGAACUGUCACGGUCACCCUUUUUCAUGGAUUCAUUACGUACUAUGAUUUUGUUUUUGAACAAAGCCAAUCAUGUGAAAUAGUCUCUACUUUGGAAUGAUUUUAUGCAUAAGCAAACACAUAUUUCAUUGAUAUGGGGUGCACAUAUAAUCAUUUUUUGAUCUUUCCAGCAAUAGAACAUAGAUACUCCAUUUCUUUUGGGUUUUAAG
This 5437-nucleotide long non-coding RNA is filed under the name Fragaria vesca (wild strawberry). RNAcentral describes it as "long non-coding RNA (FVES_LNC002946)". The record is from RNAcentral. Lineage: Eukaryota; Viridiplantae; Streptophyta; Magnoliopsida; Rosales; Rosaceae.